This 7376-nucleotide long non-coding RNA is filed under the name Nicotiana tabacum (common tobacco). Its description in RNAcentral is "long non-coding RNA (NTAB_LNC000279)". Lineage: Eukaryota; Viridiplantae; Streptophyta; Magnoliopsida; Solanales; Solanaceae. The record is from RNAcentral.
AAAAAUUCAAUCUUUCAAUUCCUCCCCAAAUUAUCUUCAAAUCCUGUCCUCUCCUGGGCGUUCAGAGGUCGCCUAUGCCGCCUACCACCACUCCAACCACUGUUGACCACCGGCCGGAAAUUGCCUCUAUCGGCGAAGUCAACCAAACAACCUCAAACCAUUAUUUUUCUUCUCCUCUCCUCCCCCUCUACACUCUUCUGCCCCAAAUGUCACUCCAUCAUUACCAAAUUCGAAACCCUAUCCUGUUCGUUCCCUUCUUGAUUUCAUCGACCAUCAUCGAUCAACAAGUCUUAAUAGUUACAUCAUUAGAUAGGUCUUAGAGAGAUCAAUCUAGUAAUUUAAGUAUCUAUUCAUUCAAUGAAUGUCGGUGCCGAUCAACUCAUCAUUGAUCGACCGGAGUUCAUGCAAAAGCCCAUCCAUGCCACUGCCUAACCUCCCAAUAGCCCUUACUCAUGGUAGAUCCACCCAUUGGUGGAAAUUCGUAAGUAAUAAAGCUUUAAACUAGCUAAGUGAAUAUGAAGUUCAAGGUGGUUCUAAUGGAGAAAGGUCCGUUGGUGGUUAGAUACCACCAAAUCAUGCACCAUCUAGUCUCACCUGGUUCUACUUUACUCCGAUAGGUACACUCUUCUCUUUUGUUUCUUUUGUGUUUAUUAUUAUUAUUAUUGUUGUUGUUGUUGUUGUUGUUUGUUAUUGUUGUUGUUGUUGUUGUUGUUUUUGUUGUUGUUGUUGUUGUUGUUAUUUUUUGGUUUCUUUUUAUCUCUACUUAGUUAAGAAAGGCACACAUGACUAUCUACUAAUUUUAUAUUAGUUGUUAACCACGAUUAGUAGCAGCCACUGCAUGUUAAGAGCAUUUAGACUUCUUAAGCGAUUGUUUGAAUGCAUUUGAUGUUGGUCACAUGAUUAAUUAUCACUAAGCAUGUUUAAUUGUGUUAAUUUCAUGUUUUAGUCAUUAACUUCUUUUAACUUUAGUAUUUGGUCACUGUCGUUUAUUAGCAUGACAAAAUAGUUUCUUAACUUGAUUCUGCGAUUUUGUUCAAUAAUGGACAUGCCUUUUAGGAUUUAGGUAUUUCUAAAUUGGACUUAGGAAGUUUGACUGAUUAAGCAAAAGAUUUGAUAAAAGGGGUAAUGGAUCCAUGCCCAAUCUUAUGUGGUCAGGUAGGUUUAAAAUAAAAAAAAGAGAUAACAAUGAUAGGUAAAGUGAAGAACGUAAAAAGGCAUUCCUCAAAAGAAAGCUAAGAAAUACAAAAUGAAUAAAUUAAUGUUUGGCUUGAUCAUCUACUUGCCAUCCCCACGCCGCCCGUGGUCACAAAUUUGAUUCGAAGUUAGGUUUCCAAUUCAUAUCCUCCAAGUGGAGUGAAAAGUAACGGAGUUGGUAAGCGUCGUGCCACGACAUUAAAUGCGGCGCUUGGUAGGAGGCAACCCAUCGUCUCCAAAAUUUUAAGUCAUUUUUUAAAUUUUCAUUUUUAGAAUAGGUUAGUAUAUUAUUUUUGACUAAUCUGCAGAGUUUUAGAAUUUUCAGAGUUGAUUUGAGAAGUUUGAGGUGUUGGAAGAACAACAAACAGUGGAUUCCCAAUUUUCUAUCUAGACUUUAGUUUAACCGCAUCUUCAGAAAUAUUCUCGCAGGUGCAGAACCACAGAAGCGAGAAAAGUAUAGUAGAAGCGAAACUUACACAGAAGUAGAUUCCUAACCGCAUAAGCGGAGCCGCAGAAAUGUUCAAAUAUCUGUAGAUGCGACUCGUCGGAUAAUUUUAAAGAUCCAAUAUGCCCUUCAGCAGGUCAGAGUCUGAACUCUAUUCUCCCAACCCAAAACCCCUCUCAUAUUUCACACAAGGAAACUAUUACUCGAAUCCUACUGCCUACACACAAGGAAAUCAGGUAAUCAUCUUUUUCCCUUUGUCUCUUAGCUACUCUCUCUUUUUCCCCGAUUUUCUUCUUCUCUCGUUAUCUUAUACUUUUAUGCAUAGCUAUUUCCCACAGCCUCUUUAUCCCAUCUCGAUAAUUGUUAGUGUUCGGGUGAGGAAAAUUGGUUAAGUGUAGUUGUAGAAGUCUGAGUACCCGAUUACUUUAAAGGAUCAAAACUCUCUCGUUUCUUGCUAAGUGUUCGGUGAUUUAUUCGAGAGAAAUUUAUGUGCUAAGUGCCUUGAGAUCAUGUGUAAUCAAGUUGUGUAAUCAUGUAGUGCACAAAUUUAGAAGUCUUGAGUAUAACUUUUGUGCCAAAAACGUGAUUUGAAUUGAAAAGAGUCGACAGUUUCUGGGCCCUUCAAAAUCUAGUGAAAAUCGCUUUUGUGAAGUAAAGGCUGCAUAUGCGUCCUGCACCUAUGAUGAAUUGUUAAGCAAGUGCGAAAUUGGCUGAGAUGUGAAAAACCGAAGAAGCAAGACUUUUACCACAUAUGUGGAACCGAACUUGCGAUGAAAGUUCUGCAGGUGCAAGUUUAUGUUGAGCAGUGAAAAUCAUAGAAGCGGAACCGCACCUGCGAUGCUUCUUCCGCAGGUGCGAUGACUGGCCAAUUUUUGCAAAACUAGUAGCUUUGCAACUAUGGCUUGCUCGGCCCAUUUGGCUCGAUUCUUUGGACUAAUUGAUGUAUUUUGAAUUUCUUAACAUGACUAUAAUGCCCGACUAAUUUUGUUUUGAUUUUUUAGGUACUUUGAACUUAAAAUAUGGACCCAAAGAUGAAUGAAAAUAUGGCACAUGAUCUUGAAAUUGAAGAAGAGGCUGUAGAAGAGCAAUUCGACAAUUAUCGCUUCAUGUCCAUUGAUUGUCACCACUGAUACUAUGACAAUCUUCUUAUAAAGAAGGUCCUACUGGAAAAGGGGAUCUUUGGGGAUAGAUUGGCCGAGCUACUUCCAGAUUUCUAUGACCGUCUAUAGACCACUGGUUGGAAUUGUUUCAUGCCUACUCCGUGUGAUGAAAAUUAGGAAUGGGCUUGUGAGUUUUACACCAACCUUAAGUGUAUAAACUUCAACGACCCACAACUCACCAUAAGGGCAAAAUAGUGUGAUUUGGACUUGAGCAGAUCAAUGAUGUUUUUUGGGCUUCCAAAGCAUCCACUUGAGUCGGUACGAGAAAAAAAAAUAUGCUCAAAUAGAGAGUGGCUAGCAUCUAAAAGUUAUCCCUCAAACAAGAGAGCGAAGUGGGCCAACAAGAGGAAGGGUUUAAAAUUCGUUGACUUCACAGCUGAGGUCAAGAUAUGGCUUUACAUCAUCUGUAAUGGAGUCUCUUCUUAUGGCAAUGUCUCUGAUGUUUCAUAUGUCAGGUGCAUGAUGAUUGCAUGCAUACUUGAUGGCAUUCAUGUAAAUGUCAAUUAUUAUAUCUUUUAGGAGCUAAAAGAGUACUUGCUACAAGACAAUCCAAGCUCGAUGUUCCCUUCGUUAAUCAUAGAGUUAUGUCGGCAGGCAGAUGUUGAUGUGCGUAGCACCUAUCGUUAGUUACCGGCCAACAAAUCCUUUCAUCUAUUGAGAGUGACUGGUGAGGGUAGUGCAGUAAAAAGCAAGAAGAGGAAGAUCACCACAGUUGUUUGACCAGAGUCCUCACAGGGAUACUACCCGAGGGACCAUUUGGGAUGCUGAAUUCCUAGCUUGUCUCCAUUCGUGACUUAGUGUUACAACUCCCGAAUGGACUCUCGCACUCCUGGUCUAUGCCUGAGUAUUGUACUAAAGAAGAGAUGAAGACAUAGGUAGAGGACCAGAAACAACAGGCAGAGUCUCAUGAGAAGUUAGCAGAUUCUAUUAGCAGGCUCGAGGCAGCAUAUGGCAAUAUGGCCAAGGUCCCUGAUGAUCUUCAGGAAGACUUUCAAAAGGAGAAAUAGAAAAAUAAGAAGAAGGAAAAAUUCAUGAUAAAGAUGUGAAGAGGCAUCAAGGCCAUCUUCAAAUGGGGGCAGCUAAAAAAGAAGAUACCGGUCAAGGACAAAGACGACAGUGAGGAGUAUUCCUUCUUGUUCAAUGAUGAUAAUGUUGAUGAUUACACUCAAAUUACACCUAUAUAAAUGGUGUAAGACGGUCUAUACCAAAUAUAAUAAUCUAACUAGGUUGGGGUCAAAUCCCACAGGGAAUAGGUGUGAAAAGGUUACUUGAGUAGUGUGAAACUUGACUUAAGCCGUAGUUCUACUCCGUUAGUUUAAAAAGAGCUUUGUAAUUGUGAAUUGUCAAGAAAAGUUAUUUUGUUAAGAGAAUUGAUUAAUUUGAUUAAGAAACCAAGGUUGUGUCUCCAUCAAUGGAAUAUGAUACUAUCGGUAUUAAUAUGACAUAUUUCUAAUGGAAGGACUUUUGCUAUGAAAAUGGUUCCUAAAUGACUACCCAAUAUUUUUCAAUAAGUUGGUAGUAUUUCCUCUUUAUGAUUUUCCCAAAUAUAAAAGAGUUACAAUUGAGAACAACCAAUUUAUGCCAAGUAGAACCCACUUAUCCCUAAGCGAUUCUAUUAAAUAAGGUUUAAAGCCUUGAGUUCCUGCUAUUCAAUUCUACCAAACACUAACCCAGUUUUCCAAGUAAAGAUAGAGUAANNNNNNNNNNNNNNNNNNNNAUAUUAAAUGAUAAACACCCAUUAACAUUACACCCACUUAGGGUCCACAACCUUAGUAUUUAAAGUUAGUUACUCAUACUAGAAUACAAGAACAAAGUAAUAAAUAAAGUCAUAAAGCUUACAAAGAUGACAAAGUCUUGGAUUCUCUAUCAAAAGCUUCCAAAAUAAUGGUGUAUUCAAUUCUCUAAGUGUAGCCUCUUUUUCAGACAAGAUGGUCCACAAAAACUCUAGUAAUUCUAUUUAUUAUGGCCCAAAAUUCCUGGACAAAAAGUGAUAAAAAUGACCCUCCAGGUUAAGUCCGCGACCGCAAAAUGGGCCGCAGAAUGAAAUCCAUAGUAACCCGCUCCCAUUUCCACUCUGGAAUCUCUAGCCUCUGAAGCAAUCCACUUGGCUGCUGAUGCUCAUACUUCACCUGUUGACAAUUUAGGCACCAAGUUACAUACUCCACUAUGUCUUUCUUCAUCCUCCACCACCAGUAGUGCUGCCUCAAGUCCUGAUACAUCUUAGCAGCACCCGGAUGAAUGGAGUACCGCGAACUGUGGGCUUCCUAAAGAAUCAACUCAUGCAAACCAUCUAUAAUGAGCACACAUAGCCUGCCCUGCAUCCGUAACACACUGUCAUCCCCGAUAGUGACCUCCUUGGCAUCCCCGGGCUAAAUUGUGUCCUUGAGGACAAGUAGAAGGGGUUGUCAUACUGACGCUCUCUGAUACGAUCAUAUAGAGAAGACCGAGAAACCACAUAUGCCAAAACUCGACUCGGCUCCGAAAUAUCCAAUCUAACAAACUGGUUGGACAAGACCUGAACAUCCAAUGCUAAUGGCCUUUCUGCUGCCCGUAGAUAUGCUAAACUUGCCAAGCUCUCCGCCUUACGACUCAAGGCAUCAACCACCAUAUUAGCCUUCCCGGGAUGAUACAGAAUGGUGAUAUCAUAGUCCUUAACCAACUAUAACCAUCUCCGCUGCCGCAAGUUAAGAUAUUUCUAUUUGAACAGAUGUUGUAGAAUCUGGUGGUCAGUAUAAACCUCACAAGAGACAAUGUACAAAUAGUGCAGCCAAAUCUUCAAGGCAUGAACAAUAGCUGCUAACUCAAGGUCAUGGACAUAAUAGUUCUUCUCAUGUAUCUUCAGUUGUCUAGACGCAUAGGUAAUAACCCCACCGUCCUGCAUCAACAUCGCGCCGAGGCCAACAUGUGACGCAUCACAGUACAUAGUGUAAGACCCUGAACCCGUAGGCAACACCAACACUAGGGUUGUAGUCAAAACAGUCUUGAGCUUUUGAAAUCUCUCCUCACACUCGUUCCACCUCAACGAAGAACCCUUCUGGGUCAAUAUGGUUAUAGGUGCAGUAAUAGAUGAGAAACCCUCUACGAAGCAACGAUAAUACCCUGCCAAACCAAGAAAACUCCGGAUCUUAGUAGUUGAAGACGGUCUAGGCCAACUCUGCACUGUAAAAACCUUCUUAGGAUCUACCUUGAUCCCCUCACUCGACGCUAAAAGACCCAAAAAUGCCACUGAAUCAAGUCAGAAUUCACACUUUAAAAUUUUUGCAUACAACUUAUUUUCUCUCAAGGUCUGGAGCAUGGUCCUCAGGUGCUGCUCAUGAUCCUCCCGGCUCCAGGAGUACACCAAGAUGUCGUCAAUAAACAUAAUGAUGAAUGAGUCAAGAUAUGGUUGGAAUACACUGUUCAUCAAGUGCAUGAAUGUUGUUGGGGCAUUGGUCAGCCCAAAUAAUAUCACAAGGAACUCGUAAUGACCAUACCGAGUCAUGAAGGCAGUCUUCGGAAUAUCGGCUCCCGAAUCUUGAACUGAUGAUAGCCUGACCACAAUUCAAUCUUUUAGAACACUCUGGUACCCUGUAGCUGAUUCAAUAGGUCAUCAAUACGAGGAAAUGGAUACAUGUUCUUCACUGUAACCUUGUUCAACUGUUGAUAAUCAAUACACAUGCGCAUAGAACCAUCCUUCUUCAUUACAAAGACAUAAGUGUUAUGCGUAAUUGGAGAAUGUGAUUUGAAGAUGAUACCGAUGCUAAUUGGAUUUUAAAUGUUAGAACCUCAUUGAGUUUGUGGUUUUGAUUUUAAAUGACCACUCAUUUUAGUCUCCUUUGCUUUAGUUUUUGUAUCAUUUUAUUAUAAUAUAAGGUUAUUUAUGGUGUGCAUUUCCAGAUUUUCAGGUACAAUGUCUUAAGCAGAGAAUCAAAAUCAAUUGAAGUGAAAUGGAGCUAAAAUAGUUGAAUCAGUUAAACUGCAUCCACUAAAAUUGUAUUUGUGCAAAAUGCUCCGCAUCUGCGAGAAAUGGUCUACAUCAGCGGAAGAAGAGUUAUGAGGUUGAAAUUGUAGUUGCGAACGAUGCAUCACAUCUGCAAUAUCACUUUUGUGCUGGAAGUUUGCUUCUACGGACUCGCUUCUGUGUUGAUAUGUCCGCUUCUACGGAGUAACCAAAAUUGCACAAGACUUGCAUCUGCGAGUGAUUGAUAAAUUCCGAUUUGAGUAAAUUGAUCAUAUGUAGCAGACUAGUGCUUUUGAGUCAUUUCUUGAGGCUUAGUUGUUGUCACUUGAUUAUUUUGAAACUCCAUUGCAUUCUUGAGAUUGUUUUAAAUGAGGGCAUUAUUUGGUUGAUAUUCACAUGCUUGAGCCUAAUUAUUAGUACUAACCAAAGUCAUAAAUGAUGUGCGUAAUUGGAGAAUGUGAUUUGAAGAUGGUAGCGAUACUAAUUGAAUUUAAAAUGUUAGAGACUCAUUGAGUUUAUGGUUUUGAUUUGCUUGAGGACAAGCAAAGACUUUAAGUUAGGGGUGUUGAUGAGUGGUGAUUUUACCACUCAUUUUAGUCUCCUUUGCUUUAGUUUUUGUAUCCUUUUAUUAUAAUCG